GCUCAGAUUGAACGCUGGCGGCAUGCUUUACACAUGCAAGUCGAACGGCAGCACGAAAGAGCUUGCUCUUUUGGUGGCGAGUGGCGAACGGGUGAGUAAUACAUUGGAACGUACCGAGUAAUGGGGGAUAACUGUCCGAAAGGAUGGCUAAUACCGCAUACGCUCUGAGGAGGAAAGCGGGGGACCUUCGGGCCUCGCGUUAUUCGAGCGGCCAAUGUCUGAUUAGCUAGUUGGUGGGGUAAAGGCCUACCAAGGCGACGAUCAGUAGUGGGUCUGAGAGGAUGAUCCGCCACACUGGGACUGAGACACGGCCCAGACUCCUACGGGAGGCAGCAGUGGGGAAUUUUGGACAAUGGGCGAAAGCCUGAUCCAGCCAUGCCGCGUGUCUGAAGAAGGCCUUCGGGUUGUAAAGGACUUUUGUCAGGGAAAGAAAAAGGGUUUGGGUU
This 446-nucleotide ribosomal RNA is filed under the name Neisseria arctica. Its description in RNAcentral is "bacterial SSU rRNA". It matches the Rfam family "Bacterial small subunit ribosomal RNA", at positions 22 to 464 of the family's 1533-position model. Lineage: Bacteria; Pseudomonadati; Pseudomonadota; Betaproteobacteria; Neisseriales; Neisseriaceae. The record is from RNAcentral.